RNAcentral lists this transfer RNA (73 nucleotides) under Bacteriophage sp. RNAcentral describes it as "tRNA-Ala". It matches the Rfam family "tRNA". From Rfam's summary of the family: Transfer RNA (tRNA) molecules are approximately 80 nucleotides in length. Their secondary structure includes four short double-helical elements and three loops (D, anti-codon, and T loops). The record is from RNAcentral. RNAcentral also lists the same sequence under 2 other names.
GGGCCUGUAACUCAGUUGGGAGAGUGUCUGCUUUGCACGCAGGAAGUCGCAAGUUCAAGUCUUGUCAGGUCCA